RNAcentral lists this unclassified non-coding RNA (339 nucleotides) under soil metagenome. RNAcentral describes it as "partial contains 5.8S ribosomal RNA, internal transcribed spacer 2, and large subunit ribosomal RNA". The stretch from base 1 to 120 matches the Rfam family "5.8S ribosomal RNA", at positions 35 to 154 of the family's 154-position model. The record is from RNAcentral.
GAUGAAGAACGUAGCGAAAUGCGAUAAGUAGUGUGAAUUGCAGAAUUCAGUGAAUCAUCGAAUCUUUGAACGCACAUUGCGCCCCUUGGUAUUCCAUGGGGCAUGCCUGUUCGAGCGUCAUCUACAACCCUCAAGCCCUGCUUGGUGUUGGGCGUCUGUCCCGCCCCCGCGCGCGGACUCGCCCCAAAUCCAUUGGCGGCGGCCCUUGCCUCCCUCUCGCGCAGCACAUUGCGCUUCUCGAGGCGUCGCGGGCCGCGCUCCACGAAGCACGCAAACCAGUCUUUGACCUCGGAUCAGGUAGGGAUACCCGCUGAACUUAAGCAUAUCAAUAGCGGAGGA